Molecule: long non-coding RNA, 975 nt
Filed under: Equus caballus (horse)
Lineage: Eukaryota; Metazoa; Chordata; Mammalia; Perissodactyla; Equidae
Description: lncRNA (ENSECAG00000044005.1)
Source: RNAcentral
CUCAGCUGCUUUUCCUUCAGCCUGAGGGCUGGCUCUGGAAGGCAUCAUGAGCCCGAACCCCAUUCAAAAGAGGGGAGUAUUUACAGCAAAUUUUUCCCUGUCCUGUGGCCUAGCCUCUAGGCAGUAGGACUCUGGAGAAGAAAUUUGUUAGGCUCCUUGCUCCUCUUGCCACACUCAGAGUGGCCAGAUUCCAUUAUUUCGCAGCACAGGGGAAAAAACAGAAAUUCCAACUCAAGGUGACUUAAACCAGAAGGAAAUUACUGUCUCAAAUAACAGGUGGUCCAGAAUUCUGGGUGUUCUCUAGGAAGGUCCUGGAGCUCAACUAUGUCAUCAGGGAUGAGAUUCUUUCCCUCUGCUUUGUAUAGCACCAGCCUCAAACCAAAACUGGUUCCCUUCAAAGUUGUAAGGGAGCUGAAAUUGAGUCAUAGUUCAGUGAUCUGCAGCUCAGCCAACAUAUUUCCCCAAAAGUGAGUUUUCUCUAACUAGCUUCAUUCAAAUCAUUCACCCAACAGGCACAAGGGACAGCAUUCCCAGCACCAGAGAUGGGAAGGUCAUUGUACAUUUGGAGAUCUUUGAAUUUGUUGAAGCAGCAGAAGAAAAUAUUCACGCUUGUACUUUUCCACUUAAAUGAGACGCAAGCCCAGUUCCUCAAGGAUUCCAGGGAGCCCAGAAGAGUGAAGUCAUCUCCCGUCUUGGGAUACAGCAGGCACAUCAUAGCUCUAGUUUCAUUCCCAGGAUCUGGGAAUUCAGAAGGACCUUAACCAUCCCAUCUGACUCUCCUUGGGCAAGAGAAAAAGGUGUGCAAACAGACUAUCAACAACACUAGGGAGCCUCCGAUGGUGCUGCAGACACAAAUGUUGGAUCUGUAGGGGACCAAGACUUUAUCUGCCUUCUGUCCGAUGGCUGCCCUGAAACCACAGCUAGAACAAAGCCCACGUUCAUUAGGGUGUAUUUUGGGAGGAAAGCAAAUUGGCA